AAACAAUGCAUUGGGAAUUUUUUAAUUAACUCCUUGAAUUGCUUACAAGCUUCAUAUAAUGUUUCAUCCUCAUAUAACCGAAAGGAUGUAAUAUAGUUCCUCAAUUU
Non-coding RNA from Gossypium hirsutum (cotton), 107 nucleotides. Lineage: Eukaryota; Viridiplantae; Streptophyta; Magnoliopsida; Malvales; Malvaceae. The record is from Rfam.